GAUGAAGAACGCAGUGAAAUGCGAUAAGUAAUGUGAAUUGCAGAAUCCAGUGAAUCAUCGAAUCUUUGAACGCACAUUGCGCCCGCCAGUAUUCUGGCGGGCAUGCCUGUCUGAGCGUCAUUUCAACCCUCGCAACCAGCUUGCUGGAUGCGGUGUUGGGGAUCGGCCCCCCGUACUGGGAGGCCGUCCCUUAAAUAGAGUGGCGGUUGCGCUGUGACCUCCUCUGCGUAGUAGCAACAUCUCGCAGGCGGAUAGCGGUGUAACCACGCCGUAAAACCCCCAACUCUUCUUUGGUUGACCUCAGAUCAGGUAGGAAUACCCGCUGAACUUAAGCAUAUCAAUAAGCGGAGGA
Molecule: unclassified non-coding RNA, 352 nt
Filed under: soil metagenome
Description: partial contains 5.8S ribosomal RNA, internal transcribed spacer 2, and large subunit ribosomal RNA
Rfam family: 5.8S ribosomal RNA (bases 1-120)
Source: RNAcentral